AUACGCGUGAUGGCACAGCGUGCGCACGUUCAAACUUUCGGGAAAGUUUGAACGUGCGCACGCUGUGCCAUCACGCGUAU
This is a non-coding RNA of Paramuricea clavata, 80 nucleotides long. NCBI's taxonomy places the organism in Eukaryota, Metazoa, Cnidaria, Anthozoa, Malacalcyonacea, Plexauridae. The record is from the annotation of a GenBank genome assembly.